GGGUCAAGUGACGAGGGAUAAACUGCAACACUAUGAUGGGAGCUUUGAUCCUACGAUAUAUGUAUUUAAGUCUCUGACGAUG
Molecule: small nucleolar RNA, 82 nt
Organism: Leersia perrieri
Lineage: Eukaryota; Viridiplantae; Streptophyta; Magnoliopsida; Poales; Poaceae
Rfam family: Small nucleolar RNA Z199
About the family: snoZ199 is a C/D box small nucleolar RNA, which acts as a methylation guide RNA for sites on 18S and 25S rRNA. Rice snoZ199 is reported to be homologous to Arabidopsis snoR13.
Source: Rfam